Molecule: ribosomal RNA, 409 nt
Filed under: uncultured Methylomirabilota bacterium
Lineage: Bacteria; Methylomirabilota (SeqCode)
Description: bacterial SSU rRNA
Rfam family: Bacterial small subunit ribosomal RNA
Source: RNAcentral
CGUGGAGACAGGUGGUGCAUGGUUGUCGUCAGCUCGUGUCGUGAGAUGUUGGGUUAAGUCCCGCAACGAGCGCAACCCUUGAUGUUAGUUGCCAGCAGGUAAGGCUGGGCACUCUAACGUGACUGCCGGUGACAAACCGGAGGAAGGUGGGGAUGACGUCAAAUCAUCAUGCCCCUUAUGUCCAGGGCUACACACGUGCUACAAUGGCCAGUACAAAGGGUCGCAAUACCGCGAGGUGGAGCAAAUCCCAGAAAGCUGGCCUCAGUUCGGGUUGGAGUCUGCAACUCGACUUCAUGAAGUCGGGAUCGCUAGUAAUGGCGCAUCAGCUACGGCGCCGUGAAUACGUUCCCAGGCCUUGUACACACCGCCCAUCACAUCAUGAAAGCCGGCUGUACUCGAAGUCGCUGAG